AGAGUUUGAUCAUGGCUCAGGAUGAACGCUAGCGGCAGGCCUAAUACAUGCAAGACGAACGGUAAGUUGAGUAGCAAUACUUAGCCAAGAGUGUCGUACGGGUGCGUAACACGUAUGCAACCUACCCAUACAGGAGGAUAGCCUAGGGAAACCUGGAUUAACCCUUCAUAGUAUUAUUGGAUGGCAUCAUUUGAUAAUUAAAACUGAGGUGGUAUAGGAUGGGCAUGCGUCUGAUUAGUUAGUUGGCGGGGUAAUGGCCCACCAAGACGAUGAUCAGUAGGGGUUCUGAGAGGAAGAUCCCCCACACUGGCACUGAGAUACGGGCCAGACUCCUACGGGAGGCAGCAGUAGGGAAUAUUGGUCAAUGGAUGCAAGUCUGAACCAGCCAUGCCGCGUGCAGGAAGAAGGCCUUCUGGGUUGUAAACUGCUUUUGCCAGGGGAUAAAAUUUCCAUGCGUGGAAAACUGAAGGUACCUGGUGAAUAAGCCACGGCUAACUACGUG
RNAcentral lists this ribosomal RNA (502 nucleotides) under uncultured bacterium. RNAcentral's name for it is "bacterial SSU rRNA". It matches the Rfam family "Bacterial small subunit ribosomal RNA", at positions 8 to 507 of the family's 1533-position model. The record is from RNAcentral.